RNAcentral lists this ribosomal RNA (466 nucleotides) under Vreelandella stevensii. RNAcentral's name for it is "partial 16S ribosomal RNA". It matches the Rfam family "Bacterial small subunit ribosomal RNA", at positions 338 to 795 of the family's 1533-position model. Lineage: Bacteria; Pseudomonadati; Pseudomonadota; Gammaproteobacteria; Oceanospirillales; Halomonadaceae. The record is from RNAcentral.
CCUACGGGGGAGCAGCAGUGGGGAAUAUUGGACAAUGGGGGCAACCCUGAUCCAGCCAUGCCGCGUGUGUGAAGAAGGCCCUCGGGUUGUAAAGCACUUUCAGUGAGGAAGAACGCCUGGUGGUUAAUACCCAUCAGGAAAGACAUCACUCACAGAAGAAGCACCGGCUAACUCCGUGCCAGCAGCCGCGGUAAUACGGAGGGUGCGAGCGUUAAUCGGAAUUACUGGGCGUAAAGCGCGCGUAGGUGGCUUGAUAAGCCGGUUGUGAAAGCCCCGGGCUCAACCUGGGAACGGCAUCCGGAACUGUCAAGCUAGAGUGCAGGAGAGGAAGGUAGAAUUCCCGGUGUAGCGGUGAAAUGCGUAGAGAUCGGGAGGAAUACCAGUGGCGAAGGCGGCCUUCUGGACUGACACUGACACUGAGGUGCGAAAGCGUGGGUAGCAAACAGGAUUAGAUACCCCAGUAGUC